UCAACUCGCCUACGGUGGUGGCUGUAGACACACAUGCAUUUUGUUUUGAACCUCUGUUUGGACCUGUGUCUGCACGUGCUUGUGUGUGAUGUGACUAGGAUGUUUGAUGGCAGGACAGGGAGGGGUUUGUUUACAUAUUAUUAGUAUUAGUAGUAGUCAGUAUGGAGUCAGUGUGCGUGUGUCUGUGGGGACUUCAUUAGCAGCAGAUGUUUCCUGUGAGGUUCCUGUAACCAGAAAAGCCCUGCGAGUAAGGUCCUGGGCCUGGGGAAGCAGUGUCGUCUCAGUCAGCGGCAGAUGGAAACGUGGUUUCCAUCGACAGACCGAGCAACACCAAGAAGUUUUGUGAAGCCUUGUGAGUCAACUCUCAUUCAUGUCAAGACCCCCUAGUUCUGGGACCACAGCGAGUGCUGGCGAGGCUACCCAAAACAACCUGUCGCUGAGGCUCACUAUUGGUAUUACAUCACAGAGCUUGGUUUCUAUUGGUCCCUGCUGCUCUGUGGAUGUAAAGUGGAAGGUAUGUGUCACUCCUGUCACCUCACACACUCUCCUGUCAUCUCACACAAACUCUCCUGUCCCCUCACACAAACUCUCCUGUCUCCUCACACAAACUCUCCUGUCUCCUCACACAAACUCUCCUGUCACCUCACACAAACUCUCCUGUCUCCUCACACAAACUACUGUCAUUUAGCAGACGCUCAAUUUACAAUCAGUGCAUUAAUCUUAAAAUAGCUAGGUGAGACAACAUCAAAGAUGUGAACACAUAUUUUUAUGACCUAAUGAUUAAUU
This is a non-coding RNA of Salmo salar (Atlantic salmon), 786 nucleotides long. The record is from RefSeq and is a predicted model, not a curated record. NCBI's taxonomy places the organism in Eukaryota, Metazoa, Chordata, Actinopteri, Salmoniformes, Salmonidae.